ACGGGAGGCAGCAGUGGGGAAUAUUGGGCAAUGGGCGAAAGCCUGGCCCAGCAACGCCGCGUGAAGGAAGAAGGCCUUCGGGUUGUAAACUUCUUUUGUCAGGGACGAAGGACGUGACGGUACCUGACGAAUAAGCAACGGCUAACUACGUGCCAGCAGCCGCGGUAAUACGUAGGUUGCAAGCGUUGUCCGGAUUUACUGGGUGUAAAGGGCGUGUAGGCGGAGCUGCAAGUCAGAUGUGAAACCCCGGGGCUCAACACCGAAACAGCAGUUGAAACUAUAGCCCUUGAGUAUCGGAGAGGUAAGCGGAAUUCCUAGUGUAGCGGUGAAAUGCGUGGAUAUUAGGAGGAACACCAGUAGGGAAGGCGGCUUGCUGGACGACAACUGACGCUGAGGCGCGAAAGCGUGGGGAGCAAACAGGAUUAGAUACCCUGGUA
This 437-nucleotide ribosomal RNA is filed under the name uncultured Oscillospiraceae bacterium. RNAcentral describes it as "partial 16S ribosomal RNA". It matches the Rfam family "Bacterial small subunit ribosomal RNA", at positions 341 to 792 of the family's 1533-position model. Lineage: Bacteria; Bacillati; Bacillota; Clostridia; Eubacteriales; Oscillospiraceae. The record is from RNAcentral.